UACGCAGGGGGCUAGCGUUGCUCGGAAUUACUGGGCGUCAAGCGCACGUAGGCGGAUUGUUAAGUCGGGGGUGAAAUCCUGGAGCUCAACUCCAGAACUGCCUUCGAUACUGGCGAUCUCGAGUUCGGGAGAGGUGAGUGGAACUGCGAGUGUAGAGGUGAAAUUCGUAGAUAUUCGCAAGAACACCAGUGGCGAAGGCGGCUCACUGGCCCGAUACUGACGCUGAGGUGCGAAAGCGUGGGGAGCAAACAGG
Molecule: ribosomal RNA, 253 nt
Filed under: uncultured bacterium
Lineage: Bacteria
Description: partial 16S ribosomal RNA
Rfam family: Bacterial small subunit ribosomal RNA
Source: RNAcentral